RNAcentral lists this signal recognition particle RNA (87 nucleotides) under Eubacteriales Family XIII. Incertae Sedis bacterium. RNAcentral describes it as "signal recognition particle sRNA small type". It matches the Rfam family "Bacterial small signal recognition particle RNA". From Rfam's summary of the family: The signal recognition particle (SRP) is a universally conserved ribonucleoprotein involved in the co-translational targeting of proteins to membranes. The record is from RNAcentral. Lineage: Bacteria; Bacillati; Bacillota; Clostridia; Peptostreptococcales; Anaerovoracaceae.
GGUCCUGCGCAAUGGAGUUCUGUGAACCUCGUCAGGUCCGGAAGGAAGCAGCGAUAAGCGGGUCACUCCCUGUGCCGCAGAUUUGCC